GGAGAAUAGAUAAUAUUUGGAUCUCGAAGGAGCUGACACAGAACUUAGCUAAAUCUGAAAUACUCCCACAAACUAUAUCUGACCAUAAUCCGGUAUUUAUGGAGAUAAAGGGUAAAGAUACUAGAGUAUUUAGAUGGAGAAUGAAUGAAGGUAUAUUUAAUAAUCAAAAGAUAGUAAGGGAGGCGAAAGAAACAAUCGAAGAAUACUUCAAGUGGAACUUACACAAAGAAACAGCUAUAGAAACGGUCUGGGAUGCAGGAAAAGCCGUUAUGAGGGGCUUCCUAAUUCAGAAAAACAGCCAUUUAAGAAAAGAAAAAGAGGAAAAAAGAGAAGAGAUUCUAACACAGCUUAUGGAGAAUGAAAGACAACUAGCUACUAAACCAGGUGACGAGACAAUAAAGCAAAAUUUAAAAAUAUUACAAGCCCAAUUUUCUAUGAUAGUUAACCAGGAAAUUGAGUGGAAAAUUAAAAUGAUGAAACAAAAGAACUUUGAAUCAGCUAAUAAAAUAGGAAAAUUCUUGGCGUGGCAAAUAAGAGAAAGGAAAAAACAAAAUACGAUCUGCAAGAUAAGGGAUGGAGAAAGGAUAGUGGAAGAGCCAAAAGAAAUAAAAAGGAUAUUUCAGACGUAUUAUAAGGAACUGUAUAAAAGAGGAAAGGAAAUAGAUUAUGAAAUAGACCGAUACCUGGAAGAUCACCAUUUACAACAGAUUGCCAUAGAAGAGAAAGAGUUAUUAGACCAGAGGAUUAC
RNAcentral lists this long non-coding RNA (748 nucleotides) under Podarcis lilfordi (Lilford's wall lizard). The record is from RNAcentral. Lineage: Eukaryota; Metazoa; Chordata; Lepidosauria; Squamata; Lacertidae.